UACGGGGGGGGCAAGCGUUGUCCGGAAUUAUUGGGCGUAAAGGGUGCGUAGGUGGGCAGGUAAGUCAGUGGUGAAAUCUCCGGGCUUAACCCGGAAACUGCCAUUGAUACUAUCUGUCUUGAAUACCCUGGAGGUGAGCGGAAUAUGUCAUGUAGCGGUGAAAUGCUUAGAUAUGACAUAGAACACCCAUUGCGAAGGCAGCUCACUACGGGAAUAUUGACACUGAGGCACGAAAGCGUGGGGAUCAAACAGG
This 253-nucleotide ribosomal RNA is filed under the name uncultured bacterium. Its description in RNAcentral is "partial 16S ribosomal RNA". It matches the Rfam family "Bacterial small subunit ribosomal RNA", at positions 524 to 776 of the family's 1533-position model. The record is from RNAcentral.